Molecule: ribosomal RNA, 942 nt
Filed under: uncultured archaeon
Lineage: Archaea
Description: bacterial SSU rRNA
Rfam family: Archaeal small subunit ribosomal RNA
Source: RNAcentral
UUCCGGUUGAUCCUGCGGAGGGGACCCCUAUCGGGCUCGGACUAAGUCAUGCAAGUCUGCCGAAGGCCCCUGCCUUCGGCGGCGAACGGCUCCGUAAUACGCGGUCAACCUACCCUGGGGAGGGGGAUAUCCUCUGGAAACUGAGGUUAAUCCCCCAUAGGGACGAAGUGCUGAGAUGCCUUUGUCCCGAAAGUAGGCAGAGGGGUUAUGGCUCUGCCAAGGCCCCAGGAUGGGACCGCGGCCCAUCAGGUAGUAGGUGGGGUAACGGCCCACCUAGCCGAAGACGGGUACGGGCGGUGAGAGCCGGAGCCCGGAGAUGGCCACUGAGACAAGGGGCCAGGCCCUACGGGGCGCAGCAGACGCGAAAACUCCGCAAUGCGGGAAACCGCGACGGGGCGAGCCCGAGUGCCUCCCUAAUAGGGAGGCUGUCUCCGAGCCUAAACAGCUCGGGAUAGGAAGGGGAGGGUAAGGCUGGUGCCAGCCGCCGCGGUAAAACCAGCUCCCCGAGGGGUUCCCACGCAUACUGGGCCUAAAGCGUCCGUAGCCGGCCCCGUAAGUCCUCGGUUAAAUCCACUGGAAGACCAGUGGGCUGCCGGGGAUACUGCGGGGCUAGGGACCGGGAGGGGCCGAGGGUAUUCCCGGGGGAGGGGUAAAAUCCUCUGAUCCCGGGAGGACCACCAGUGGCGAAGGCGGCCGCCCAGAACACGCCCGACGGUGAGGGGCGAAAGCUGGGGGAGCAAACGGGAUUAGAUACCCCGGUAGUCCCAGCCGUAAACGAUGCGGGCUAGGUGUCGGGUGGGCUACGGGCUCACCCGGUGCCGAAGGGAAACCAUUAAGCCCGCCGCCUGGGGAGUACGGCCGCAAGGCUGAAACUUAAAGGAAUUGGCGGGGGAGCACCACAAGGGGUGGACGUUGCGGCUUAAUUGGAGCAACGCCGGAAAU